CACGGACCAAGGAGUUUAGCGUGUGCGCGAGUCAUUGAGUGAUGAAACUCAAAGGCGUAAUGAAAGUGAAGGGAACUUUACGUUUCUGAGGGAGGAUGAGUACGCUCUUUACGGGGCCGCUCCGCACUCCCGGGGCGUCUCUAUCUCAUUGCGAGAGGAGGCGCACCUAGAGCGUACACGCUGAUACCCGAAAGAUGGUGAACUAUGCCUGGCCAGGACGAAGCCAGGGGAAACCCUGGUGGAGGUCCGCAGCGAUUCUGACGUGCAAAUCGAUCGUCGGAGCUGGGUUUAGGGGCGAAAGACCAAUCGAACCAUCUAGUAGCUGGUUCCCUCUGAAGUUUCCCUCAGGAUAGCUUGCGCUCGGACGAGACGAGUCUCAUCCGGUAGAGCGAAUGAUUAGAGGCCUUGGGGUCGAAACGACCUCAACCUAUUCUCAAACUCCAAAUAGAUGAGAACCCUGGCUUUCUUAAACUAUGAAGCCAAGGGGUUUCGGAUCAGAGUGCCAAGUGGGCCAAUUUUGGUAAGCAGAAGUG
Molecule: ribosomal RNA, 533 nt
Filed under: Orthotylinae gen. ZANCGEN2 sp. Msp068
Lineage: Eukaryota; Metazoa; Arthropoda; Insecta; Hemiptera; Miridae
Description: partial large subunit ribosomal RNA
Rfam family: Eukaryotic large subunit ribosomal RNA
Source: RNAcentral